RNAcentral lists this ribosomal RNA (1408 nucleotides) under metagenome. RNAcentral's name for it is "bacterial LSU rRNA". It matches the Rfam family "Bacterial large subunit ribosomal RNA", at positions 1457 to 2910 of the family's 2925-position model. The record is from RNAcentral.
UAUUGCGAUGGAGGGACGCAGGAGUGACACUGCCGCCACGAGACGGAAUUCGUGGUUAAAGGGUGUAGGGAAACCGAAGCCCGACAGUACCGCAAGGCCCCGGCCGAGCGGAUAGUGCAGGUAAUCAAGCUGCCUAGAAAAGCUCCUAAGCUUCAGAUACAAAUACCAGUACCGUAAACCGACACAGGUGGUCGAGGAGAGUAUCCUAAGGCGCUCGAGUGAUUCACAGCUAAGGAACUCGGCAAAUUCGUCCUGUAACUUCGGGAGAAGGGACGCCUACCCUCGCGAGAGGGAGGCCGCAGUGAAGAGGCCCAGGCGACUGUUUAGCAAAAACACAUGGCUUUGCGAAUUCGAAAGACGACGUAUAAGGCCUGACACCUGCCCGGUGCUGGAAGGUUAAGAGGGGGGGUCAUCCGCAAGGUGAAGCUCUGAAUCGAAGCCCCAGUAAACGGCGGCCGUAACUAUAACGGUCCUAAGGUAGCGAAAUUCCUUGUCGGGUAAGUUCCGACCUGCACGAAUGGUGUAACGAUCUGGGCACUGUCUCGGCUGUGAGCUCGGUGAAAUUGUACUGCCGGUGAAGAUGCCGGCUACCCGCAAUGGGACGAAAAGACCCCGUGAACCUUCACUACAGCUUUGCAUUGACAACGGGCCAGGGAUGUGUAGGAUAGGUGGGAGGCUGCGAACCGGUAUCGCCAGGUAUCGGGGAGCCAGCGGUGAAAUACCACCCUUCCCUCGCUUGUUGCCUAACCCCGCGAGGGAGACAGUGCAUGGCGGGUAGUUUGACUGGGGUGGUCGCCUCCAAAAGGGUAACGGAGGCUUCCAAAGGUCUGCUCAGCACGCUUGGUACCGUGCGUAGAGUGCAAUAGCAUAAGCAGGCUUGACUGAGAGACUUACAAGUCGCACAGGUAGGAAACUAGGGUAUAGUGAUCCGGCGGUACCGCGUGGAAGGGCCGUCGCUCAAAGGAUAAAAGGUACUCCGGGGAUAACAGGCUGAUCUCCCCCAAGAGCUCAUAUCGACGGGGAGGUUUGGCACCUCGAUGUCGGCUCGUCACAUCCUGGGGCUGGAGAAGGUCCCAAGGGUUCGGCUGUUCGCCGAUUAAAGUGGCACGCGAGCUGGGUUCAGAACGUCGCGAGACAGUUCGGUCUCUAUCUAUUGCGGGCGUUAGACGUUUGAGAGGGGCUGGCCUUAGUACGAGAGGACCGGGUCGGACGAACCUCUGGUGCACCUGUUGUGACGCCAGUUGCAGCGCAGGGUAGCUAUGUUCGGAAGAGAUGAGUACUGAAAGCAUCUAAGUGCGAAACUCGCCUCAAGAUGAGACGUCUUUAUAAGGGUCCUGGGAGACGACCAGGUUGAUAGGGUGUAGGUGUAAGUGUAGAAAUAUACUCAGCCGAGCACUACUAAUUACCC